UGGCUCAGUUGGUAGAGCAUGGUGUUUGCAAUGCCAGGGUUGUGGGUUUGAUUCCCAU
Molecule: non-coding RNA, 58 nt
Organism: Salmo salar (Atlantic salmon)
Lineage: Eukaryota; Metazoa; Chordata; Actinopteri; Salmoniformes; Salmonidae
Source: Rfam